UGCCUUUGCGAGAGCGGAGUUGGGUUCUCCUCAGCACAGACGCGGAGAGCAUCGCGAGGGCGGAGCUGCGUUCUCAUCUGCACAGAUUUCAGUGGUACUGCGAAGGCGGAGCAGAGUUCUCCUCAGAUGAUGAUUAUUCCCCACCUUCUAAGAGACAAAGACCAACGAGCCGCCACAGCCACCAGUCCCAGAACCCGCCAAUGCUGGGGAACGGAAAAUGAGGGAGUUCAACUCUGGCCCUCACAAUCCAGUGGAGGAGACGCAACUCAUCUGCCUCUGUCCCUCUGGGCACGCCUCGUGCCAGGUGCAUCUGUGGACAGGGGCCAUGCUCCUGGGCUUCCAAAGUUGGAGAAAGCUGCCAGGCUCAGGUCUGAAGGCCAGAAUUCUACAGUAAGUCCUACUGAGUCAAGGUGGGAGCAGGGUCGGUAGCUUCCGAGGCUCUGCGGGAGAAUCUGUUUCCUGGCCGUAGAGGUGGCCUGCACUCCUCAGCCUGUGCUGCCCGUCUCGAAUGACUGGAGUUUCCUGCUUCUGUCACUACACCUCCCACCCUCUCCAUCACCUGCUCUGCUCUUACAAGGAUCCGAAGAAAUGGAAUCAUCGUAUCGCUGAUCUACGUAAACAAACUGAAGAAUUGUCUGAAAGAAAAUAUGACAUGAACUUAUGAAUUCAAUAGGUGAAGAUUUACAACUUGAUAAAUCAACUUUGUCAGCUCGAGCUGUAAAAGCCAAAGGUCCGGUGAUGAUCCCAUACCCUUUUUUCCAGUCUCAUGUUGAAGAUUUUUAUGUAGAAGGCCUUCCCAAAGGAAUUUUUUUUUUUUUUUUUUUUUUGAGAUGGAGUUUUCACUCUUAUCGCCCAGGCUGGGGUGCAAUGGCACAACCUUGCUGGUCACUGCAACCUCUGCCUCCUGGGUUCAAGAAAUUCUCCUGCCUUAGCCUCCCAAGUCACUGGGAUUACAGGUGCCCACCACCACACCAGGCUAAUUUUUGUAUUUUUAGUGGAGAUGCGGUUUCACCAUGUUGGCCGGGCCAGUCUCGAACUCCUGACGUCAAGUGAUCUUCCCGCCUCGACUCCUGAUAUCAAGUGAUCUUCCCGCCUCGGCCUCCCAGAGUGCUGAGAUUACAGACGUGAACCCAUGCCUGGCCAGGAAUUUUGUUUUUUAGGAAGGCUUUCUACUAAUGGAAUUCCUGGCCUUGAGAGGAUGUUACUUUAGAAGGAAAGGAUUUUUUUGUUAUUAAAAGAGCCACCUAAGCUGAAGAUUCCCUUGAGAACAAGUACUGUCCCUAGUUUCCCAGUGCUGGAAUAUAGAAAAUGGAUGGACAACUGGACCUACCAUGAAAGACUUCUGAAUCCAGGAAGAGAAACUGACUGGGCAACAUGUUAUUCAGACUUCUGACCAAAUGUGUGUGCAGAGUUUCUACACCAGUUCUCCAACUCUCUGGAUACCAACCGCGUAUCCCACAAUUCCAUUCUGACACUACCUAGAGUUAGCACAGAACCCACAGGUUAGGGGCUCAGUCCCACAAGACCACCCUCACUUCAGAUGCCAGUUGCAAGUCCUAGGUUGUCACCUGUAUUUUGACCAACCAGUUAGAAAUCAGGGUUUCCCAUGACCCUCUUGUUGAGUUUAAUUAUUUACUAGAACAACUCACAGAACUUAGAAAAACAAGUUUUUUUUCUUUUCUU
Molecule: long non-coding RNA, 1683 nt
Filed under: Homo sapiens (human)
Lineage: Eukaryota; Metazoa; Chordata; Mammalia; Primates; Hominidae
Description: HSALNT0395487
Source: RNAcentral